GUCGUGAGAUGUUGGGUUAAGUCCCGCAACGAGCGCAACCCUUAUCCCAUGUUGCCAGCGGGUAAUGCCGGGGACUCGUGGGGGACUGCCGGUGCCAAACCGGAGGAAGGUGGGGACGAGGUCAAGUCAUCAUGCCCCUUACGUCCAGGGCUGCACACAUGCUACAAUGGCCGGUACAAAGGGCUGCGAUCCCGCGAGGGGGAGCUAAUCCCAGAAAGCCGGUCUCAGUUCGGAUCGCAGUCUGCAACUCGACUGCGUGAAGUCGGAGUCGCUAGUAAUCGCAGAUCAGCAUUGCUGCGGUGAAUACGUUCCCGGGCCUUGUACACACCGCCCGUCACACCACGAAAGUCGGUAACACCCGAAGCCGGUGGCCCAACCUUUUGGAGGGAGCCGUCGAAGGUGGGAUCGGCGAUUGGGGUGAAGUCGUAACAAGGUAGCCGUACCGGAAGGUGCGGCUGGAUCACCUCCUUUCUAAGGAGUCCACUGCUCGAGCGAGAGGUAUUUUGCCUCGAAGCUCGGGGAGCUCCUACGUCGAGCGCUGGCUAAUCGGCCCGUCGACAACCCCGACCCCACGUCGCUCUCGAGCGCACGUGGCACCACCGGGGCCGGCGGCGUCGGGCAUCACUGUUCCGUUUUGAGGGAGCACGCGCCCUCCGGCCGUCAGGCCGGAACGUCCGCGUCCCCUGGGCAGCGCGGUACCCGAGCUCGAGGAGAGCUCGAGGUCGCCGUCGCCCGAGGCCUGUGCCCGUCGACUUUCGACGGCGCGCGUCCUCGCCCGCUGGUUGAGAACUGCAGAGCGAGCACGAGCAUCAAGAACGAAGAAAUCCCAAGCUACAAAGAGCCAACGGUGGAUGCCUUGGCGCCAGAUGCCGAUGAAGGACGUGGGUGGCUGCGAAAAGCCACGGGAAGCUGCCGACCAAGCGCUAUGACCCGUGGAUAU
Molecule: small RNA, 940 nt
Filed under: uncultured Acidimicrobium sp.
Lineage: Bacteria; Bacillati; Actinomycetota; Acidimicrobiia; Acidimicrobiales; Acidimicrobiaceae
Description: bacterial SSU rRNA
Rfam family: Bacterial small subunit ribosomal RNA (bases 1-471)
Source: RNAcentral